GAAGAGGAUCAAUAAGGUGUUGAGAGCAGUCUCCGUCGGCACAGAAAGGGAGAAACAUCAGAGCAGAGGGAAGCUGUGGACAUUCACAAGAUGGUGAAGAUGCAGUGGAGUCUGUUGGUGUUGAUUGUGAUGGGUCAGUGUUCCUCCAUUGGGGGUCAGCUGUGUGACUACCACUUCAUUGGAGAGAAUAUGACCUGGAAAGCAG
This is a long non-coding RNA of Sander lucioperca (pikeperch), 205 nucleotides long. RefSeq lists it as uncharacterized. Lineage: Eukaryota; Metazoa; Chordata; Actinopteri; Perciformes; Percidae. The transcript has 3 exons. The record is from RefSeq and is a predicted model, not a curated record.